AGUCAUCCUUUUCUUGCAUUAUGAUUGGUCCAUAUCCAAUGAUGUAAUCUAAAUCUUUCUGCUAAGAGUAAUGUGUUACUCAUGAAUCUCACAUACUCUAGACCAUUGCUGGCCGCCUUUUUUCCUCCUUUUUUUUUUUUGAUCGGUGACCGCCGCUGAUUUGUUACUGUAACCUUCAUUAGAUUUUGGUUUGACACAAAAACUAAGCUAAAUGUGCAUCUACUUUUUACAUUUUUUCUCUUGUGAAACUAUUUAAUAAUUGCUUGCAAUUAAUUCCUAAUACUGUUUUUGAACUUUUUUGGUUAGCAUAUUUCGAGUUUCAAAUGGAUGAUUGAAUUCUUAAGCCGAUUGUCAGAAGCACUAUUCUCAAGAUUUGUAUAAGCUAGAACUUGUUAGAGAGUAAACUAAUCUAAGUUUACAAUAUAUAA
RNAcentral lists this long non-coding RNA (428 nucleotides) under Phoenix dactylifera (date palm). Its description in RNAcentral is "long non-coding RNA (PDAC_LNC001994)". Lineage: Eukaryota; Viridiplantae; Streptophyta; Magnoliopsida; Arecales; Arecaceae. The record is from RNAcentral.